RNAcentral lists this ribosomal RNA (792 nucleotides) under uncultured bacterium. RNAcentral describes it as "bacterial SSU rRNA". It matches the Rfam family "Bacterial small subunit ribosomal RNA", at positions 75 to 846 of the family's 1533-position model. The record is from RNAcentral.
UUCGGUAAUGACGUUGGGAAAGCGCGUGGCGGAUGGGUGAGUAACACGUGGGGAACCUGCCCCCUAAGUCUGGGAUACCAUUUGGAAACAGGUGCUAAUACCGGAUAAUAAAGCGGAUCGCAUGAUCAGCUUUUGAAAGGUGGCGUAAGCUGUCGCUAAGGGAUGGCCCCGCGGUGCAUUAGCUAGUUGGUAAGGUAACGGCUUACCAAGGCGACGAUGCAUAGCCGAGUUGAGAGACUGAUCGGCCACAUUGGGACUGAGACACGGCCCAAACUCCUAUGGGAGGCAGCAGUAGGGAAUCUUCCACAAUGGACGCAAGUCUGAUGGAGCAACGCCGCGUGAGUGAAGAAGGUUUUCGGAUCGUAAAGCUCUGUUGUUGGUGAAGAAGGAUAGAGGUAGUAACUGGCCUUUAUUUGACGGUAAUCAACCAGAAAGUCACGGCUAACUACGUGCCAGCAGCCGCGGUAAUACGUAGGUGGCAAGCGUUGUCCGGAUUUAUUGGGCGUAAAGCGAGCGCAGGCGGAAAAAUAAGUCUAAUGUGAAAGCCCUCGGCUUAACCGAGGAACUGCAUCGGAAACUGUUUUUCUUGAGUGCAGAAGAGGAGAGUGGAACUCCAUGUGUAGCGGUGGAAUGCGUAGAUAUAUGGAAGAACACCAGUGGCGAAGGCGGCUCUCUGGUCUGCAACUGACGCUGAGGCUCGAAAGCAUGGGUAGCGAACAGGAUUAGAUACCCUGGUAGUCCAUGCCGUANACGAUGAGUGCUAAGUGUUGGGAGGUUUCCGCCUCUCAGUGC